CAGCAGCCGCGGUAAUACGUAGGGCGCAAGCGUUAUCCGGAAUUAUUGGGCGUAAAGAGCUCGUAGGCGGUUUGUCGCGUCUGCCGUGAAAGUCCGUGGCUCAACCCCGGAUCUGCGGUGGGUACGGGCAGACUAGAGUGAUGUAGGGGAGACUUGAAUUCCUGGUGUAGCGGUGAAAUGCGCAGAUGUCAGGAGGAACACCGAUGGCGAAGGCAGGUCUCUGGGCAUUAACUGACGCUCAUGCACGAAAGCGUGGGGAGCAAACAGGAUUAGAUACCCGUGUAGUCCCUGUCUCUUAUAC
This 301-nucleotide ribosomal RNA is filed under the name uncultured bacterium. RNAcentral describes it as "partial 16S ribosomal RNA". It matches the Rfam family "Bacterial small subunit ribosomal RNA", at positions 509 to 807 of the family's 1533-position model. The record is from RNAcentral.